CUGGAACGCGCCCCAGGCGCACCCAGAAACCCUUUGUGAACUUAUACCUUACUGUUGCCUCGGCGCAUGCCGGCCCCCCCAGGGGCCCCUCGGAGACGAGGAGCAGGCACGCCGGCGGCCAAGUUAACUCUUGUUUUUACACUGAAACUCUGAGAAGAAAAAAACAAAAUGAAUCA
RNAcentral lists this unclassified non-coding RNA (176 nucleotides) under uncultured Valsaceae. RNAcentral describes it as "sequence contains ITS1". Lineage: Eukaryota; Fungi; Ascomycota; Sordariomycetes; Diaporthales; Cytosporaceae. The record is from RNAcentral.